UUUCAAGCUUUCCAAGCUCAAUAAUCAAGAGAAACGAGAUUUAAGUCGUGAUCGAGGGAAAAACAAAGUUUACAAGGAAUAGGCCCGAUUGCUAAUAUUUUGUAUCGAGUGUUGUCAGGUUAGCUCAGGGUUGGAGACCGUCGGAGGCAACAUCACACUAUCAAGCCAACACCUUGACAGUAUAAACACAUAUGCUAGAUUUAUCAAGUGAGUGGCAUGUAUAGGGACCUAAUUUUAUAACAUGUGUUAUUAUUAUUUGGCCAAAUAUAUUGGUCUUUAGUGAGCUAAUGAUUCUGACUUAUAAA
Molecule: long non-coding RNA, 305 nt
Organism: Gossypium arboreum
Lineage: Eukaryota; Viridiplantae; Streptophyta; Magnoliopsida; Malvales; Malvaceae
Exons: 2
Source: RefSeq, a predicted model, not a curated record